This 1346-nucleotide unclassified non-coding RNA is filed under the name uncultured Neocallimastigales. RNAcentral's name for it is "partial contains small subunit ribosomal RNA, internal transcribed spacer 1, 5.8S ribosomal RNA, internal transcribed spacer 2, and large subunit ribosomal RNA". The stretch from base 610 to 1346 matches the Rfam family "Eukaryotic large subunit ribosomal RNA", at positions 1 to 611 of the family's 3401-position model. The record is from RNAcentral. Lineage: Eukaryota; Fungi; Neocallimastigomycota; Neocallimastigomycetes; Neocallimastigales.
UUUCCGUAGGUGAACCUGCGGAAGGAUCGUUAAAAAUAAUCACGUUUUAUCGCGUUUUAAUAAUCAUCCUACCUUGUGAAUUUGUGUUUUGUUUUGAAACUUAUGUUGUCUAUCCUGGAUUUGGAGAAGUUUUUUUCGUAAAAACUUUUCAUUUCAGGGAGUAGGCUUCAUAGACCUUUUUUAUAUUAACUUUUGUAUUCAUUGUCUAAAAUUUAUUUUUAUAAUUUAAAACAACUUUUGACAAUGGAUCUCUUGGUUCUCGCAACGAUGAAGAACGCAGCAAAAUGCGAUAAGUAAUGUGAAUUGCAGAAUACGUGAAUCAUCAAAUCUUCGAACGCAUAUUGCACUUUUUUAGUUACUAAAAAAGUAUGUCUGUUUGAGUAUCAGUAAAUAUUCUCAUAAAAACAUUUUUUGUUUUUAUGGUUAUGAGUGUUUACAACGAUAAACAAGUUGUUUCACUUUAAAUUGAUUUUUUUUAAAGCCAAUUUUUUAGGUUUUAUAAUAAAUUGGAUAAAAUAUCCGUAAAAAGGAAUAAACUUUUCAGUUUUAGAAUAAACCAAAUAUUGGUUAUCAAAAAAAAAGGAAAUUAAAUAAUUAUAUAAACUAACUUGAUCUCAAAUCAGAUAAGAGUACCCGCUGAACUUAAGCAUAUCAAUAGCGGAGGAAAAGAAACUAACAAGGAUUCCUUAGUAACGCGGAUGAAGCGGGAGAGCUCAAAUUUGAAAUCUUCAAGGUUCUACCUUGACGAAUUGUAGUUUAAAGAAGUUUUCUGCUAGUGGAGUGGCAAAAGUUCUUUGGAAUAGGACAUCAUAGAGGGUGAGAAUCCCGUAUUGGUCAUUCUUCUAGCUUUGUAUACACUUCAAAGAGUCGGAUUGUUUGGGAAUGCAGUCCAAAAUGGGUGGUAAAUUUCAUCUAAAGCUAAAUAUUGGCGAGAGACCGAUAGCGAACAAGUACCGUGAGGGAAAGAUGAAAAGAACUUUGAAAAGAGAGUUAAACAGUACGUGAAAUUGUCAAAAGGGAAGCGUUUGACACCAGUGUUGUUUUUCCGAAAAUCAAUUAUGAAUGUUUUUGUUUCUGAGAGUUAUGACUUCAUCGGCUUGCUCCUUUCUUACGAACUUCGUAUGCACUUUCGGUUACAGUCAACAUCAAUUCUUUUGUUGUAAAGGUAUGAGGAAGGUGGCUUUCUUUUCGGAGAAAGUGUUUAUAGCCUUGUACCUCUGCAAUCGGAGAGAUUGAGGUCUGCAGCGUAGAUCCUUCGGGCUAGAUACACUUGUGCUAAGUUAUAGCUUUUCAUAGACAACUUGUUGACUAUGUUUAGUCAUGUAGCUUACCCGCUUGUGCUAUUU